RNAcentral lists this ribosomal RNA (270 nucleotides) under uncultured bacterium. RNAcentral describes it as "partial 16S ribosomal RNA". It matches the Rfam family "Bacterial small subunit ribosomal RNA", at positions 29 to 324 of the family's 1533-position model. The record is from RNAcentral.
AAUGAACGCUGGCGGCAGGCCUAAAACAUGCAAGUCGAACGCUUGUAGCAAUACAAGAGUGGCGCACGGGUGAGUAGCACGUGGGAAUAUGCCUUUUGGUACGGGACAGCUCUGGGAAACUGGAAUUAAUACCGUAUGGUCCCUUCGGGGUAAAGAUUUAUCGCCAAAAGAUUAGCCCGCGGUGGAUUAGCUAGUUGGUAGGGUAAUGGCCUACCAAGGCGACGAUCCAUAGCUGGUCUGAGAGGACGAUCAGCCACACUGGGACUGAGA